GACGAACGCUGGCGGCGUGCUUAACACAUGCAAGUCGAACGGAAAGGAACUGCUUUUGUGGGGUGCUCGAGUGGCGACCGGGUGAGUAACACGUGAGUAACCUGCCCUUGACUUUGGGAUAACUUCAGGAAACUGGGGCUAAUACCGGAUAGGAGCUCCUGCUGCAUGGUGGGGGUUGGAAAGUUUCGGCGGUUGGGGAUGGACUCGCGGCUUAUCAGCUUGUUGGUGGGGUAGUGGCUUACCAAGGCUUUGACGGGUAGCCGGCCUGAGAGGGUGACCGGCCACAUUGGGACUGAGAUACGGCCCAGACUCCUACGGGAGGCAGCAGUGGGGAAUAUUGCACAAUGGGCGGAAGCCUGAUGCAGCAACGCCGCGUGCGGGAUGACGGCCUUCGGGUUGUAAACCGCUUUCGCCUGUGACGAAGCGUGAGUGACGGUAAUGGGUAAAGAAGCACCGGCUAACUACGUG
This 468-nucleotide ribosomal RNA is filed under the name uncultured bacterium. RNAcentral describes it as "partial 16S ribosomal RNA". It matches the Rfam family "Bacterial small subunit ribosomal RNA", at positions 28 to 507 of the family's 1533-position model. The record is from RNAcentral.